Non-coding RNA from Saimiri boliviensis boliviensis (Bolivian squirrel monkey), 873 nucleotides. Lineage: Eukaryota; Metazoa; Chordata; Mammalia; Primates; Cebidae. The record is from RefSeq and is a predicted model, not a curated record.
AUGUAUGCCAAAGCUGAGAACAUACUUAUUGGCAUUCGAAGCAACUUCAAGGCUGCUUGGACUCCUUUUCUUUUUGAACACCAGCUUGAGGAUAUGGACAGAGAAGGAGAUUUGAAAUCCAUAUUGGACUUUUCCAGAUUGCUUUAUUUUAUUCUCUGCAUCCUCUCCUGCUCAAAAGCAAAGAAACAAGAAAAGGAAAGGAAAAAAAAAAAAAAGCCCACAGCCUACCGGGCGCCCCCGCCCCCUGCGCCGCAGGCCAGGACCCCGGUGGCCAGACCCCGAGGGCCUCCUGACCCCGCGAUGGCAGCUGAGUCCGCGCUACGCAGCUAAGCAGUUCGCGCCUUACGGCGCUGCCUCCGGGGUGGACCCGGGUUCGCUAUGGCCGUCGACCGAGCAGCUGCAGGAGCUGGAGGCCAAUGAGCGCGAAUGGUACCCAAGUUUGACGACCAUGCAGGAGUCGCUGCCGGUGAAGCAGCUGGCCGAAGAGCAGAAGCUGUCAGGAGAGGGAGCAGCACACUGCAGAGUGCAUGGCCAAGAUGCCAAGGAUGAUUGAGAAACGGCGGCAGCAGAAGCGGGAGCGCAGGGAGAAGGCAGAGGCUGACAAGGAGAGGAGGACCCGACUGCAGGCUGAGGCCCAGGAGCGCCUGGGCUACCAGGUGGACCCAAGGAGCGCCCGCUUCCAGGAGCUGCUCCAGGACCUAGAGAAGAAGGAGCGCAAGCGUCUCAAGGAGGAAAAACAAAGACAGAAGAAGGAGGCGCGAGCUGCUGCAAUGGCUGAGACGGCAGCCCAGGACCCAGCCACCUCUGGGGCACCCAGCUCCUGAGCCUUUGUCCUUUCCCAAUAAAAGCCUGCUCCCUGGCAGUCCCCCUGAA